AGCAGUGUAGCACAGUGGUUAAGGAGCAGGGCUCGUGACCGAAAGGUUGCUGGUUCGAUUCCGCGCUGGGCACUGCUG
Non-coding RNA from Megalops atlanticus (tarpon), 78 nucleotides. Lineage: Eukaryota; Metazoa; Chordata; Actinopteri; Elopiformes; Megalopidae. The record is from the annotation of a GenBank genome assembly.